GACGAACGCUGGCGGCGUGCUUAACACAUGCAAGUCGAACGGAAAGGCCCUGCUUUUGUGUGGUUCUCGAGUGGCGAACGGGUGUGUAACACGUGAGUAACCUGCCCUUUACUUUGGGAUAUCUUCAGGAAACUGGUGCUACUACCGGAUAGCAGCUCCUGCUGCAUGGUGGGGGUUGGAAAGUUUCGGCGUUUGGGGAUGGACGCGCGGCUUAUCAGCUUGUUGGUUGGGUAGUGGCUUACCAAGGCUUUGACGGGUAGCCGGCAUGAGAGGGUGAACGGGCACAUUGGGACUGAGAUACGGCCCAGAGGGGAACGGGAGGCAGCAGUGGGGAAUAUUGCACAAUGGGCGGAAGCGUGAUGCAGCAACGCCGCGUGCGGGAUGACGGCCUUCGGGUUGUAAAGCGCUUUAGGCUGUGACGAAGCGUGAGUGACGGUAAUGGGUAAAGAAGCACCGGCUAACUACGUG
RNAcentral lists this ribosomal RNA (468 nucleotides) under uncultured bacterium. RNAcentral's name for it is "partial 16S ribosomal RNA". It matches the Rfam family "Bacterial small subunit ribosomal RNA", at positions 28 to 507 of the family's 1533-position model. The record is from RNAcentral.